Molecule: ribosomal RNA, 496 nt
Filed under: uncultured bacterium
Lineage: Bacteria
Description: partial 16S ribosomal RNA
Rfam family: Bacterial small subunit ribosomal RNA
Source: RNAcentral
AUGCACGCUGGCGGCGUGCCUAAUGCAUGCCAGUCGAGCGAACAGACGAGGAGCUUGCUCCUCUGACGUUAGCGGCGGACGGGUGAGUAACACGUGGAUAACCUACCUAUAAGACUGGGAUAACUUCGGGAAACCGGAGCUAAUACCGGAUAAUAUAUUGAACCGCAUGGUUCAAUAGUGAAAGACGGUUUUGCUGUCACUUAUAGAUGGAUCCGCGCCGCAUUAGCUAGUUGGUAAGGUAACGGCUUACCAAGGCAACGAUGCGUAGCCGACCUGAGAGGGUGAUCGGCCACACUGGAACUGAGACACGGUCCAGACUCCUACGGGAGGCAGCAGUAGGGAAUCUUCCGCAAUGGGCGAAAGCCUGACGGAGCAACGCCGCGUGAGUGAUGAAGGUCUUCGGAUCGUAAAACUCUGUUAUUAGGGAAGAACAAAUGUGUAAGUAACUAUGCACGUCUUGACGGUACCUAAUCAGAAAGCCACGGCUAACUACGUG